RNAcentral lists this long non-coding RNA (1926 nucleotides) under Gossypium barbadense (sea-island cotton). RNAcentral describes it as "long non-coding RNA (GBAR_LNC010201)". The record is from RNAcentral. Lineage: Eukaryota; Viridiplantae; Streptophyta; Magnoliopsida; Malvales; Malvaceae.
UUGACAUAAGCAUCACAUCUAGUUAGGAGCAUUUGAUUCAUUUCGAUCAUAACAUCCUAAUUAUUUGACAUCAGCAUCACAUCUAAUUAUGAGUAUUUGAUUCAUUUUGAUCAUAGCAUCUUAAUUAUUUGACAUAAGCAUGAUACAUGAAACCGAGUCUACAGGACAUAUCCAAGAGGACGGUGUAGUAACAUCGGUGAAGUCAGAUCUUAUCUCCCUGAAGUUGCAGUGGAGCAGACCAAAGAUGGCGAAUCUUAUCUCCAUGUAUCGGCAAUGGAGCAGAUUUUAGCCGCUAGCCUUAUCUUUCUGAGGUAGCAAGAGAGCAGGUUGAAGAUGGUGGUCUUAUCUUCCUAAGGUAACAAGGAAGCAGACUGAAGAUUGAAGAUCUUGUCUCUCUAAGCAGUAGUGGAGUAGAUCGAAGAUGGCGAAUCUUAUCUCCAUGUAUCGGCAAUGGAGCAGAUUUUAGCCACUAACCUUAUCUCCCUGAGGUAGCAAAAGAGUAGGUUGAAGAUGGUGGUCUUAUCUUCCUGAGGUAGGAACGAAGCAGACUGAUGAUUGUAAAUCUUAGCUCCCUAAGCAGUUGAGAAGCAAAUCGAAUACGGCGAAUCUUAUCUCCAUGUAUCGGAAAUGAAGUAGAUUUUAGUCACUAGCAUUAUCUCUCUGACGUAGCAAAAAAGCAGAUUGGCGAUUGUAGGCUUAUCUUCUUGAGGUAACAAGGAAGCAAACUGAAGAUUGAAGAUCUUAUCUCUUUAAGCAGUUGGGAGCAAAUUGAGGAUGGCGAAUCUUAUCUCCAUGUUUCGGCAAUGGAGCAGAUUUUAGCCACUAGCCUUAUCUCUCUAAGGAAGCAAGAGAGUGGGUUGGCGAUUGUAGUCUUAUCUUCCUGAGGCAGCAAGGAAGCAGACUGAAUAUUGAAGAUCUAUUUUCCUAAGCAGUUGUGGAGCAGAUCGAGGAUGGCGAAUCUUAUCUCCAUGUAUCAGCAAUAGAGCAGAUUUAAGCCACCAUCCUAUUUCCUUAAAGUUACAGUCAAGAUUCAGCAAAACAGGGCAAAAUUGGCCCUAUUUGAAGUCUUUGCUCUAUUCUCGUUACACGACAAUAAGUAAAGAGGGACAGCUGUAAUAGGCCCAUUUCGCAUGGGCCCAUAAAAAAACGAAAAAAACAAAAAAAAACCAAAAUAAAUAAAAUAAAAUAAGGUCCAAAGUCCAACAUUACAAAAAGCCCAGCUUUUAGCCUAAUACCAAAUUUACAUUUAACCCACAUACAAUUGAAGCCCAAAUUUUAAACUCAUUUUACAAUAAGGCCCAAUCUUAAAACAGCCCAAAUGGCCCGGGCAAAUUGAAACUUCUGGAACCUUAGGGUUCCCUUGCGCCGCAGCCUUCACAAGCGGCCUCUCCACAUCGCACGUGCUCCUCCGUUCCUCCGUACACCCCACGAACGGCCUCACCAUGUCAGCAGCACCACAACCUUCAUACCCACAACGGACUAACAACUCACAACAGAUUGACAGCAAAUAGAUCUAAGGGAAAAUUUUUUGUAUUUAUUAUUAUUAUUCUUUUUAUUCGACUAUAAAGGCCAGUGAAAUCGAAUGUAAAGAGGAUCUUUUCCACAAAAAAAAUACAAUACAGAUACAGAAAAACAGAGAGUAGGAUUUGACUUUUUCAAAUACAAUGAGAUUUUCCAUUUUUCUUCUCUUUAAGAGGUGAUUGGUGAUUCUGAUUUUCCUUUUUAAGUUUUUUACAACAAAAGAAAAAAAGCAAAAAGAGUGAAAAGAUCGAAAGUACCUUUUCCAGCCAUCGUUAUUCACGAUCGAAAUGGAUUAGUGGCGCAUUUGAGCCCUAGCAGAGGAGAAAGGGAAAAAACCCUUCUGCUCCUUUCGAUUUUGAGGCAAAUGCCUUUGACAGGAAGGUUUCUUUGUUUCUUAUGCAUAAA